GUGGGAUAUGGCAUGUGGAUUAACGUACACACAAGAACAAAUUGACGAAGUACGGGAUGAGUGGGCAACGAACGUGAGCAGCUAUAUGUCGAGCCUCGAGUUAAGGGUGAAUAUGUUAGAUGAAUGUACGUAUUUUGGGAGAACUAGAUUUUUUUGCACAUGCUUAGGUAGUAGCUUAAUUUUAUGGAUAGUUUGGUUUAUUUUGUGGAUGCAUGUAAUCAAAUUCACAAUUCAAUAUAGUAGUAAUUUAUAUUGAAAAGUUAAUUUGAGAUGCAUAUAUGGAUACAUUUUGGUAUAUAUUUCGUGGAUGUAGUAAUUUGAAACUGUAAACGAAUGGUAUUAUUGGGAUGUAUUUUGAAUGGUUGAUACAUUUUGGCUAUAUAUCAU
This 387-nucleotide long non-coding RNA is filed under the name Panax ginseng (ginseng). Its description in RNAcentral is "long non-coding RNA (PGIN_LNC008189)". Lineage: Eukaryota; Viridiplantae; Streptophyta; Magnoliopsida; Apiales; Araliaceae. The record is from RNAcentral.